RNAcentral lists this unclassified non-coding RNA (491 nucleotides) under Hevea brasiliensis (rubber tree). The record is from RNAcentral. Lineage: Eukaryota; Viridiplantae; Streptophyta; Magnoliopsida; Malpighiales; Euphorbiaceae.
GAUGGCCAUUGUGAGACACAAUUGGAGGAAACAUGGAGAGCACUGUUUUCAAGCCUCACUUAUGCUAAAAACUUUAGCGGUCCGGUUUGUUUUCGCCAUGCUAUCCUCUCGCCGUUGGGAUAUGAAACUGCCCUGUUUAAGGGGCUUUCAGAAAGUAUCGGUUGUACUGGAGCUCCUGCCCAUGAUUUGUGGCAAAAUCCCAGUGAUAGUAAAACUGCACGGUUGUCCGAGUUUGGAGAGAUGAUCAGAGCAGCCUUUGGAUUUCCUGUGGAUAGACAGAACAUCCCAAGGACAGUCACUGGCCACAAUGUCCUCUUUGUUAGACGCGAGGAUUAUUUAGCUCACCCACGUCAUGGCGGAAAGGUACAGUCUAGGCUUAGCAAUGAACAAGAAGUAUUUGAUUCCAUAAAGAGCUGGUCCUUGAACCACACAGAGUGCAAAGUAAAUGUGAUUAACGGAUUAUUUGCCCACAUGUCCAUGAAAGAUCAAGU